RNAcentral lists this ribosomal RNA (722 nucleotides) under uncultured bacterium. Its description in RNAcentral is "bacterial SSU rRNA". It matches the Rfam family "Bacterial small subunit ribosomal RNA", at positions 136 to 851 of the family's 1533-position model. The record is from RNAcentral.
CAGCGGGAUAACCCGGAGAAAUCCGGCCUAAUACCGCAUGUGGCCGAGGGAAGGCAUCUUCUUUCGGCCAAAGGAGGCGACUCCGGAGACGGAUGGGCAUGCGUGACAUUAGCUUGUUGGCGGGGUAACGGCCCACCAAGGCGACGAUGUCUAGGGGUUCUGAGAGGAAGGUCCCCCACACUGGUACUGAGACACGGACCAGACUCCUACGGGAGGCAGCAGUGAGGAAUAUUGGUCAAUGGGCGAGAGCCUGAACCAGCCAAGUCGCGUGAAGGAUGACGGCCCUACGGGUUGUAAACUUCUUUUGUCAGGGAGCAAUUGGGUCCACGUGUGGGCUUAGCGAGAGUACCUGAAGAAAAAGCAUCGGCUAACUCCGUGCCAGCAGCCGCGGUAAUACGGAGGAUGCGAGCGUUAUCCGGAUCUAUUGGGUUUAAAGGGUGCGUAGGCGGAAUAUCAAGUCAGCGGUAAAAAUUCGGGGCUCAACCCCGUCGUGCCGUUGAAACUGAUGUUCUUGAGUGGGCGAGAAGUAUGCGGAAUGCGUGGUGUAGCGGUGAAAUGCAUAGAUAUCACGCAGAACUCCGAUUGCGAAGGCAGCAUACCGGCGCCCAACUGACGCUGAAGCACGAAAGCGUGGGUAUCGAACAGGAUUAGAUACCCUGGUAGUCCACGCAGUAAACGAUGAAUGCUAAUUGUCCGGAGGGAUUGACCUCUGGGUGAUACAG